RNAcentral lists this ribosomal RNA (660 nucleotides) under uncultured bacterium. RNAcentral's name for it is "bacterial SSU rRNA". It matches the Rfam family "Bacterial small subunit ribosomal RNA", at positions 208 to 859 of the family's 1533-position model. The record is from RNAcentral.
UCGGCUGUCACUUAUAGAUGGACCCGCGCCGUAUUAACUAGUUGGUAGGGUAACGGCCUACCAAGGUGAUGAUACGUAGCCGAGUUGAGAGACUGAUCGGCCACAAUGGGACUGAGACACGGCCCAUACUCCUACGGGAGGCAGCAGUAGGGAAUCUUCCACAAUGGGCGCAAGCCUGAUGGAGCAACGCCGCGUGAAUGAAGAAGGUCUUCGGAUCGUAAAAUUCUGUUGUUAGAGAAGAAUAUGAGUAAUAGUAACUGAUUAUUCACUGACGGUAUCUAACCAGCAAGUCACGGCUAACUACGUGCCAGCAGCCGCGGUAAUACGUAGGUGGCAAGCGUUGUCCGGAUUUAUUGGGCGUAAAGCGCGCGUAGGCGGUUUCUUAAGUCUGAUGUGAAAGCCCCCGGCUCAACCGGGGAAGGUCAUUGGAAACUGUUUCGCUUGAGUGCAGAAGAGGAGAGUGGAAUUCCAUGUGUAGCGGUGAAAUGCGCAGAGAUAUGGAGGAACACCAGUGGCGAAGGCGGCUCUCUGGUCUGCAACUGACGCUGAUGUGCGAAAGCGUGGGGAUCAAACAGGAUUAGAUACCCUGGUAGUCCACGCCGUAAACGAUGAGUGCUAAGUGUUAGGGGGUUUCCGCCCCUUAGUGCUGCAGCAAACGCA